RNAcentral lists this ribosomal RNA (482 nucleotides) under uncultured bacterium. RNAcentral's name for it is "bacterial SSU rRNA". It matches the Rfam family "Bacterial small subunit ribosomal RNA", at positions 28 to 498 of the family's 1533-position model. The record is from RNAcentral.
GAUGAACGCUAGCUACAGGCUUAACACAUGCAAGUCGAGGGGCAGCGGGAUUGUAGCAAUACAAUUGCCGGCGACCGGCGCACGGGUGAGUAACGCGUAUGCAACUUACCUAUCAGAGGGGGAUAACCCGGCGAAAGUCGGACUAAUACCGCAUGAAGCAGGGAUCCCGCAUGGGAAUAUUUGCUAAAGAUUCAUCGCUGAUAGAUAGGCAUGCGUUCCAUUAGGCAGUUGGCGGGGUAACGGCCCACCAAACCGACGAUGGAUAGGGGUUCUGAGAGGAAGGUCCCCCACAUUGGUACUGAGACACGGACCAAACUCCUACGGGAGGCAGCAGUGAGGAAUAUUGGUCAAUGGGCGUAAGCCUGAAACCAGCCAAGUCGCGUGAGGGAUGAAAGGUUCUAUGGAUCGUAAACCUCUUUUAUAAGGGAAUAAAGUGUGGGACGUGUCCUAUUUUGUAUGUACCUUAUGAAUAAGGAUCGGCU